GGUCAUGAUCUGGUACCGGCCCCCACAUCUUUCCAGCAGCCACUGUAGAGUCCUGCCCUGUUUCCAGAUGUGCUCUUGGAUGGGUUCGUCUACAGCACCGAGAACAUGACCGGGACUAUGGUCCGCUGCCAGAGAGGAACCUGCAGCUGUCUGAGCUGGAGCUCCAUGGCCCUCCACUCCACCUGGCUGAAGGGUUGGUGGGUGGGCAGCAUCAACAGGAUGGCGUGCGGUCCUGGGGGACACAGGUCCAGACCCCUGAAGAGCUCCCGGGAGACCGUGUCUUGAACAGGAGAGUGGGUGGUCCAACCUGGGGUGUCGACCACAGUCACCUGCUGGAUCACACGACCACAGAGAAGUCAGGAGACACUCUCCUUCAGGGAAGGAAUCGGAGUGUCAAGGAUCUGGUAUUUGCCUGUAGUCCGUGGACAAUUCCAGUUUUCUUGCUGCUUCUAGUCGUGUUCCUGCCAAAGACCUGUCUGCCCAGAAUGUUGUUUCCCACCGAGCUCUUCCCACUUUGUUUCUCACCCAGUAACAGAAGAACCAGCUGGGUCAGAGAUGGUUCUGGAACAUCCAAACACGACCUGUGUUUACACUCAAACAGAUGUUCCCAGUGAAGCACAGAGAGCUUUAAAGAACUUACCACAGAGGCUGGCCAUGGAGAAGCUGUUGGAACAGAAUUAAAUUCAGUUAACGUUCUCUGCGAUGUAACCUUUGUUUUUAAUGUCAUUUGUGUUGCGUCUUCAUGCUGGUUCCAAAGUUCAGAGAGAGACAUUCCUGAGAAAUGACAACAGUCCAUAAAACAAGGAGCUCCAGAGGGAGGAGAAAAAAACUUCACGCUUUUUGUUACUUGAUAAAUAAUGUGCAUUUGGACUGAAAAAGUAUUAAAAUAACUUGAAAUAGAUGUUAAAAACCAGAUUACGGCAACUAUAUAAUAAAAAAUGAAGCAAAGCAUUAUGAAGGUGGGAUUUUGUCCUCUUGACCACCAGAGAAAAAAUGGUUCCAGUCAAAACAGGGUUUUAAAUCCACCAAAAACUACAAUUCCCAGAACUUCACCCCUUCAAACUUAUUACCAUUGAAAAGCGCCAAAUGUCCUCUGCAGAUACCAAAAGGAGUUCAUUGAGAAGUUUCAUUGGUUUGGAGAUAUUCAGGUUUAGAAAUCUCUCAACAGAGGACACAUUUGCAUUGCUGGCAGUCAGGACUUAAUUAAAGAUUCACUUCUAUCCACUCCCUUUCAAGCAAAAAUUCAAACUCUUUUUGACAGUUCCUAUAUUGAAUGGAUUUCAUGUAUCAUGGACUGUAUGGAUGGAUGCAAAUAUGUCUAUUUAUGAUUAGGAGAAAUUAUAAUGGUCUAGAAUUUAGCAUCAUUUACUUUUUUUCAAAUCAAUUCAUGAAUUAAUAUCUUAAAUAGGUUUGAUUUAUCUGUGUAUCAAUUUUUGUCUUUUUUCCCCCUGUUUUACUUACUUAAAAUAAACCAAAAAACCUAAAUGGAGCGCCUCCUAACAUACAGUUUUAUUUAUCUUGUGACUUUAAUCUCUCGUCAAAACAAAUGAGUCUAAAGCAAAAUGACAAAGAUGUGACUGAGGAGGAGGGGCUGAGUGUACAAAUGGAGGAAUGGGACUUAAGUGUUAUUAAGAAAAGAUCCCCAUCAUUUGAUAUUUUAGUUUUAAAAUUCAUUCACAUUCUCAAUUUGAUUUUCGCUCAAUAAAAUGUAAUGUUGGGUGGAGAAGAAUUUAUAAUCUGGUUGGACUUUCUAAGGAAAUAAACACUUGAACACUUUA
Molecule: non-coding RNA, 1778 nt
Organism: Oryzias latipes (Japanese medaka)
Lineage: Eukaryota; Metazoa; Chordata; Actinopteri; Beloniformes; Adrianichthyidae
Source: RefSeq, a predicted model, not a curated record